Molecule: small RNA, 107 nt
Filed under: Marmota monax (woodchuck)
Lineage: Eukaryota; Metazoa; Chordata; Mammalia; Rodentia; Sciuridae
Source: RNAcentral
GCUGGGCACUGUGGCUCAUGCCUGUAAUUCCAGUGGUGUGGGAGGCUGAGGCAGGAGGAUUGCAAGUUAGAGGCCAUCCUCAGCAACUUAGUGAGACCCUGUCUCUA